Molecule: ribosomal RNA, 282 nt
Filed under: uncultured fungus
Lineage: Eukaryota; Fungi
Description: partial small subunit ribosomal RNA
Rfam family: Eukaryotic small subunit ribosomal RNA (bases 141-282)
Source: RNAcentral
GAGGAGAGCACCCGGUCUAGGUUUUUGCCUUGUACUGGGUCUCGUCACACAGACGGAGAGGGGGGUGUCACCUUACACGGUGCACGCUUUCUUUGCUCGAAUCUUUUUUUCUGGGGAAACGAGAUGUCCUUCACUGGGCGUUUCGAGGAACCAGGACGAUUACCUUGAGAAAAAUAGAGUGUUCAAAGCAGGCUUCACACAUUUGUAUGCGCUUGAAUACGUUAGCAUGGAAUAAUAAAAUAGGACUUUGGUUCUAUUUUGUUGGUUUUAAGGACCAAUGUC